This 205-nucleotide ribosomal RNA is filed under the name uncultured Bacillus sp. RNAcentral describes it as "partial 16S ribosomal RNA". It matches the Rfam family "Bacterial small subunit ribosomal RNA", at positions 1179 to 1382 of the family's 1533-position model. Lineage: Bacteria; Bacillati; Bacillota; Bacilli; Caryophanales; Bacillaceae. The record is from RNAcentral.
AUGACGUCAAAUCAUCAUGCCCCUUAUGUACCUGGGCUACACACGUGCUACAAUGGUCGGUACAGACGGACGCAAAGCCGCGAGGUGGAGCAAAUCCUAAAAAGCCGGUCUCAGUUCGGAUUGCAGGCUGCAAUUCGCCUGCAUGAAGUCGGAAUCGCUAGUAAUCGCAGGUCAGCAUACUGCGGUGAAUACGCUCCCGGGCCUU